Non-coding RNA from Salmo salar (Atlantic salmon), 354 nucleotides. The record is from RefSeq and is a predicted model, not a curated record. Lineage: Eukaryota; Metazoa; Chordata; Actinopteri; Salmoniformes; Salmonidae.
GCACAGGGUCAUGGAGCAAGAGGACAGAAUGAUUAUGAGUUUAGUCUGCCGUUUCUUAAUGCUGUGAAGACAGAGGUGAGCCACAGGUCGACCCAGCGCCAGGUGAACAUCACGGUGCGUAAGCAGCUAAGUGGCUGGUGGGACAGACUCACGCUACAGGAGAAGAAACCUCUUUUCCUUGCUCCUGACUUCGACCGCUGGGUGGACGAGUCUGACGCAGAGAUGGAGCUACUGGAGAAGGAGGAGAAAAAGAACCGACUGAACACGGAGUCGAGACAGUCGGACCCCUGUGAGUAUAAACCCACUGUAUUUAACCAGCUGAAGGCUGUUAGAGGACUGUGAGUAUAAACACAC